RNAcentral lists this ribosomal RNA (683 nucleotides) under uncultured Russula. Its description in RNAcentral is "eukaryotic LSU rRNA". The stretch from base 1 to 70 matches the Rfam family "Eukaryotic small subunit ribosomal RNA", at positions 1763 to 1831 of the family's 1831-position model. Lineage: Eukaryota; Fungi; Basidiomycota; Agaricomycetes; Russulales; Russulaceae. The record is from RNAcentral.
UCUUGGUCAUUUAGAGGAAAGUAAAAGUCGUAACAAGGUUUCCGUAGGUGAACCUGCGGAAGGAUCAUUAUCGUACAACGGAGGUGCGAGGGCUGUCGCUGUCCUUCAAAGGUCGUGCACGCCCGAGCCCUCUCACAAUCCAUCUCACCCUUUGUGCUCACCUCAUGGGUCCCCAUUAAAGGUAGGGACAAGGUUUUCGCAUAAGAACCUAUGCAAGGAUCAAUAUUAGGGGGCUUCGGUCCCAUCCAGAUAACACCCCUUGAACAAGAGAUCUUUUGGUUUCCUCGGCGGGAAGCCCGCCAACGGGGACCACACCAAACCGAUUUGUAGAAGCCAUAAAAUUAUAAAAUCAUAAUUUAAACCAAAACUUCCAACACAGGAUGUGGGGCACACCGCAUUGAGGAUGAAGAAAUCGAAAUGCGAUAAGUAGUGUGAUCCGCAGAAUUCAGAAAUCAUCGAAUGGAGAACGCACAUAAUGCCCUCUGGUAUUCUUUAGGGCAUGCUCCUCGAGCGUCAUUCAAACCGGUAAGCUCUGCUUUCCUUGGGCGCAUAUGACGCCUCGGGCGCGGGUCGCCUCUAAUGCAUGCUCCCAAUUUUUCAUCACAAAAACAACAGACUCGUUUCACCUCAUUUACGCACGGGCGUCCAUCAAGACCCACAACCAGACUUGACCUCUCUCUCUC